CGUUCCUCCCGAGUCAUAUACACUAUUAGUUUGUCGCAGGGUUUGAGGAAGAGACAAGUGGACAUGAUCAAGGAUGGAGUAUAUGGGAGCAGCCAAUCAUUGACCAGGGUGACUACACUGUUAAGAGAGAUCUGAGGUAAAGCAGUCAGGCAACUGGCUAGCUUUUGUUGCCAUAGAUGAGAGCAAAUUCAGACAUAAAAGAAAGUAUGGACGUGGACGACGUGGACACUCCUGGAGAAGACACUUGUGGGUCUUUGGAAUGGUGGAAGUCAAGGGAUGCCAUAGACGUCCAAUCUUAAAGCUUGUAAAAUAUCGAUCCAGGAAGCGACUGUUCCCAAUUAUCCAGAAGUACAUUAGACCUGGUAGUAAAGUGAUAAGUGAUAACUGGAGUGCCUACAACAGGUUAUCACGUCAUGGUUACAUUCACUAUCAGGUGAAUCACAGGAGACAUUUUUUCCACCAUGGGAGUGGUGCUCACACUCAGCAUACUGAACGGGCGUGGCGAAAUUAUAAAGAGGACAUUUACCAAUACAGAGGAAACCUGACAGAAAAGGCAUUAAAGAUGAACUUGAGGUUCACUGAGUGGAACUACUGGUUUGGAAAAGGAGCACAAGAAGGGUAUAUUAGACGCCUUUGCAAAGACAUCAGAGCGUGCUACCACGUUUAAGUGAUGCUGACGGGGUAAAUACUGCAGAUUUCCUAUCAUGUGAUUAAUAGCAUAUUUGAAAAAAAUUAAAUGAAAUAUAGACUCAGAGCUGUUCAGAGGCCAUAUUACAAGUGUCUGAUAUUACAAUGUGACACCCCAAAAACAAGGCUUCCUUUUAUAGUACAGUUUCACUUUACUUACUGAGAAUGAUAUAGUUAGUUAAGUUGCAGAACACACAUGGUAAACGUUUGUGAUUUCAUAAAUGUAUAACCAGUAGCAGAGGAUGUGGUAAGAGUCUGGUAAUACUAUAGAAAUAAACAAGGCCUCCUUCCGCA
Long non-coding RNA from Micropterus dolomieu (smallmouth bass), 981 nucleotides. RefSeq lists it as uncharacterized. The transcript has 3 exons. NCBI's taxonomy places the organism in Eukaryota, Metazoa, Chordata, Actinopteri, Centrarchiformes, Centrarchidae. The record is from RefSeq and is a predicted model, not a curated record.